ACACGACUACAUUAGAUACCCCCUGUAGUCCAGGGUGUAAACGCUGCGGGCUUGGUGUUGGGGGGUCCUUUGAGGGCGCCCAGUGCCGGAGAGAAGUUGUUAAGCCUGCUGCUUGGGGAGUACGUCCGCAAGGAUGAAACUUAAAGGAAUUGGCGGGGGAGCACCGCAACGGGAGGAGCGUGCGGUUCAAUUGGAUUCAACGCCGGACAACUCACCAGGAGCGACGGUUACAUGAAGGCCAGGCUGAUGACCUUGCCUGAUUUUCCG
Molecule: ribosomal RNA, 267 nt
Filed under: uncultured archaeon
Lineage: Archaea
Description: partial 16S ribosomal RNA
Rfam family: Archaeal small subunit ribosomal RNA
Source: RNAcentral